UGCCAGGUACUUUUUUUCAAAUGUCUGCAAUAAUAAUUUUAAAAGUCUGGGAAGAACAAAAAAUGUGAGGCAAGCUAGUGUAACCAAAAGCCUUUAUAUUCAAAAAUCUGCAAAUAUCUGCAACCAAACUAAAAAAUCUGCAAAUAUCUGCAACCAAACGGAAAAAUCUGCAAAUAUCUGCGUCAUCGAAAAAAUCUGCAGCUUAAAUUAAAAGUCUGCGAAUUUGCAGACUUGUCUGCAAAUCUGGCAUCUCUGGUAGUGAAAAAACAACCCGGAGACAACUUGACAGCUCCCAUAUAUUGAACUCAUAAGCAAAUUUUGUGGUGAUUUGGUGAUGUCAUGGUGGCUCGAAUGGAGCAAUAUUGAAAAAGGGACAUCUCACGGAAUAUUACUUUCUAAGUGGCACAAAUAACUGCUGUGAGCACGUUCAUUUGCCAUUUGUAAUAUGAAAAGAGGUAGAUUGAUUACACCCAAGUUAGAAUGAGUAGCACUGACUACACCGGAGUAGGGCAAUGACAAAAACGAAAAUGCCAUUAGUGAAGCCAUGAAUAGGAUACAAAAACAGCAAUGGGUGAAUCGGUUUGUACUUCUCUUAUAAGACUAAAAAACAAACAUACCCCAAUACUCCAAGCACGUGAUAUUACGCCCUUGUUCGAGACCGAUUUCCGAAAUUCGAUGAAUGUCAAAUCUAAACUAAAAAAAACCAGUCAUGCCUACAUGUCUAGAGCGAUCAAGAAUAGCAGCACGAAUGCCAAGUUCAAGGCUCCACUGCUGGUAUAGCAACAUACUGUCUGAGGAGGCAUUACGAUGACUGUCACCUACACCGACUAUCUACCGCAGAUCCAACACAGGGAGUGAAGCACGUGUACGAUGAGUAGCACACGUAUCAGUGGGGCAAACUUGUCUCGUGAGUGAGAAACAAAUCAACUAACAUGAAUGAAUAUCAGAUGUAUCUUUCUGGUUCGACAACGAUUAGAUAAGUUGUUUUCGGUGGCCAGUCAAACGAUAGAUAAACAACAAAGUAUGGAACCCGAUGUCGAAGACACUUUUCGUACAAAGCGGAACAAAGCAUAUCGAUCUGACUUGUCAGUGUCGUCUAUCGUGCAAGCUGUUACACCGGAAGUUUUGAUUUCGCUGCUCGCUAAUUUUUUGACGGAAUAAUCGUUGGUUAUAUAGAAUAGAUUUUACUAAAUUCUGGGAAUAAAAGAACAAUACAUACGGAAAAACCGUAUAAUUCGCGAAUAUGGCAAAGCAAUAAACCGAAAUGAUUGCUAAACAUAUGGUGUUUUCGUUUUUUCCUGGUGCUACACCGGUGUAGUGCAAAAAAGAGACAGACUGACACCCAAGUUUGAAUGAGUGUAGCACCAGGUUUGUUCCAGUACCAGGAGAAACUGGAAGUACUCCGGAGCAAACGGGGAGAAAAACGUUCCUGUAUUAUCUUCUUCCCUUUUUCUUCUUUUGGUAGCAAACCGGAGUGAAAAGGAGCAAGAAUUUUUUGCUCCGGAGCAACAGGGAGUAACUUCCGUGUACUGGAACAAACCUACCGACUACACCGGUGUAGUGCACAAUCAAAAACGAAAACGACAAUAGUCUCAAUUACCAAAAUUCGGGACAAUGAGAUGUCACAUCGCGGCCGGUUGCAGCAGACUCAACACUAGUGAUUCUAGUAAACAAGAGGCUGGAUAUCGUGUGAAUUCUGAAGAUGGAGCAACUGAAGAAAUGAGACAUGCGUCGAAUCUAAAUUUUUGUAAGUAUUUCUUCAAUAACUAUCUGUCUUACUUUCUUCCAGACCGGUAUUAUAUGAUUUUACUGCAGGGAACAUAUCUCCGAAUAUGUUUGUACAUUUCUCCAACAUCAACAAACAGCUUUCUCUGGUUUUUGGAACAAUUCCGUUUCGUUGGCGAUUAACUGUACGAU
Molecule: long non-coding RNA, 1917 nt
Organism: Topomyia yanbarensis
Lineage: Eukaryota; Metazoa; Arthropoda; Insecta; Diptera; Culicidae
Exons: 3
Source: RefSeq, a predicted model, not a curated record